GGCAGCACGGAGCUUGCUCUGGUGGCGAGUGGCGAACGGGUGAGUAAUGCGUCGGAACGUAUCCAAUAAUGGGGGAUAACGCAGCGAAAGCUGUGCUAAUACCGCAUACGCCCUCCGGGGGAAAGCAGGGGAUCGUAAGACCUUGCGUUAAUGGAGCGGCCGACGUCUGAUUAGCUAGUUGGUAGGGUAAAGGCCUACCAAGGCGACGAUCAGUAGCUGGUCUGAGAGGAUGAUCAGCCACACUGGGACUGAGACACGGCCCAGACUCCUACGGGAGGCAGCAGUGGGGAAUUUUGGACAAUGGGCGCAAGCCUGAUCCAGCCAUUCCGCGUGAGUGAAGAAGGCCUUCGGGUUGUAAAGCUCUUUCAGGAGGGAAGAAACGAUUGUGGCUAAUACCCAUGAUUAAUGACGGUACCUUCAGAAGAAGCACCGGCUAACUACGUGCCAGCAGCCGCGGUAAUACGUAGGGUGCGAGCGUUAAUCGGAAUUACUGGGCGUAAAGCGUGCGCAGGCGGUUUUUCAAGUCUGAUGUGAAAUCCCCGGGCUUAACCUGGGAACUGCGUUGGAAACUGAAAGACUAGAGUGCGGCAGAGGGGGGUAGAAUUCCACGUGUAGCAGUGAAAUGCGUAGAUAUGUGGAGGAAUACCGAUGGCGAAGGCAGCCCCCUGGGUCGACACUGACGCUCAUGCACGAAAGCGUGGGUAGCAAACAGGAUUAGAUACCCUGGUAGUCCACGCCCUAAACGAUGUCAACUAGUUGUUGGGGAGGGAGANCUCCUUAGUAACGCAGCUAACGCGUGAAGUUGACCGCCUGGGGAGUACGGUCGCAAGAUUAAAACUCAAAGGAAUUGACGGGGGCCCGCACAAGCGGUGGAUUAUGUGGAUUAAUUCGAUGCAACGCGAAAAACNNUACCUACCC
Molecule: ribosomal RNA, 918 nt
Filed under: uncultured bacterium
Lineage: Bacteria
Description: bacterial SSU rRNA
Rfam family: Bacterial small subunit ribosomal RNA
Source: RNAcentral